RNAcentral lists this long non-coding RNA (927 nucleotides) under Marmota monax (woodchuck). Lineage: Eukaryota; Metazoa; Chordata; Mammalia; Rodentia; Sciuridae. The record is from RNAcentral.
AAUUGAUAUUACAAAACGUUCACAAAUGAAUGGAAAAUCUGAGAAUACAUUAUUAUCUGAGAAAACAUUAGCUUACCCUAGCAUUUACUCUAAUUUUUUUGAAAAUACCAGAGAGUACAAUUUAGAAAUAGUAUACCGAGAAGACACUUGUGCUCUCAUUCACAUUUUAUUUAUGAGUUCAGUUAUGAGACAACAUUUUAUUAACAAAGUAACUUUGAACAUGUUAUCCUACUUCUCUCUUCAGUCAUCUUAUCAGUAAAUAAGGUUAAUAUUGCUCCUAUCAUGAGGUUGCUGUGAUACUUCAUUAAUUUACUACGCAUAAACUCACUACAUGUGUCAUCAGCAGAUGGCAACCCAAAUUAUGCAAUAGCUAUUAUUCUCAUUAUUGACCAAAUGAAGGGUGAAAUAAGUUUUCUAAAACAAGUUGACUACUCAAGUUUUCCCUGUUUGUUUUCUUUAGGUGUCUUCAAUGCCCUUGGUUUGCCUGUGACUGAGUGUCCACUGGGGUUGAAUGCCAAAGGACUUCCUGUAGGCAUCCAGGUUGUGGCUGGACCCUUUAAUGAUCAUCUUACCCUGGCUGUGGCUCAGUACUUGGAGAAAAGUUUUGGUGGCUGGGUAUGUCCUGGAAAAGUUUAGCAGGACAUUUUCCAAGGUCAGAGUGUCUGUGCACAUGCACAUGCACAUGCACAUAUGUGCAUGCAUGCACAUUUCUAUUGGUUGCAUGAAAUCAAGCACCAGCAAGCAUGUAGAUUGAAAAUAUUUGGAGAAUAUUUUUCUUCAGUUAUUCUUUCUAAUUUUAUUUCCUGCACUAACUUUUGUUUGCAUUAUAAUGGUAAUACUUGAUUUCCACUUUACUGGAUAAAGUGUACAUGUAAAUGAAUAAGUGCAAUAAAGUUUAAUAGAUGAUGUAUUGGUGUCUAAUUUGUG